Molecule: ribosomal RNA, 497 nt
Filed under: uncultured bacterium
Lineage: Bacteria
Description: partial 16S ribosomal RNA
Rfam family: Bacterial small subunit ribosomal RNA
Source: RNAcentral
GAUGAACGCUGGCGGCGUGCCUAAUACAUGCAAGUCGAGCGAACAGACGAGGAGCUUGCUCCUUCGACGUUAGCGGCGGACGGGUGAGUAACACGUAGGUAACCUACCUAUAAGACUGGGAUAACUUCGGGAAACCGGAGCUAAUACCGGAUAAUAUUUCGAACCGCAUGGUUCGAUAGUGAAAGAUGGCUUUGCUAUCACUUAUAGAUGGACCUGCGUCGUAUUAGCUAGUUGGUAAGGUAACGGCUUACCGAGGCAACGAUACGUAGCCGACCUGAGAGGGUGAUCGGCCACACUGGAACUGAGACACGGUCCAGACUCCUACGGGAGGCAGCAGUAGGGAAUCUCCCGCAAUGGGCGAAAGCCUGACGGAGCAACGCCGCGUGAGUGAUGAAGGUCUUCGGAUCGUAAAACUCUGUUAUUAGGGAAGAACAAACGUGUAAGUAACUGUGCACGUCUUGACGGUACCUAAUCAGAAAGCCACGGCUAACUACGUG